This is a long non-coding RNA of Eleginops maclovinus (Patagonian blennie), 309 nucleotides long. RefSeq lists it as uncharacterized. The transcript is spliced from 2 exons. The record is from RefSeq and is a predicted model, not a curated record. NCBI's taxonomy places the organism in Eukaryota, Metazoa, Chordata, Actinopteri, Perciformes, Eleginopidae.
CUUUUUUGAUGUACAAAUUAAUGUUGUUAAUUUGGGGGCGGCUGUUAAAAAGGUCCACCGUAAUGUAGGGAAAAUGGACCAAUCAGGGGGCAGUAUGCACGUAGGGGAAUUCCAGCAGGCUCGCGUAGUCAGUGGGGAGUAAGAGUUUAAUGCGAACUGCGAGGAGUUCUGGUUGCCGCAUUAUUGUGCCUGUUUCUAGUUGACAGUUGACAGUUGAAGCCUACUUGACAGUUGAAUGUGUGCGUGACAACUAAAAAACCACACAACUAAGUAUGUCAUCGAAUCUUCAAUAAAGAAGACCAUUGGAAA